AACGAACGCUGGCGGCAUGCCUAACACAUGCAAGUCGAACGAGACCUUCGGGUCUAGUGGCGCACGGGUGCGUAACGCGUGGUAACCUGCCCUUAGGUUCGGAAUAACUCCCCGAAAGGGGUGCUAAUACCGGAUAAUGUCUUCGGACCAAAGAUUUAUCGCCUUUGGAUGGGCCCGCGUUGGAUUAGCUAGUUGGUAGGGUAAAAGCCUACCAAGGCGACGAUCCAUAGCUGGUCUGAGAGGAUGAUCAGCCACACUGGGACUGAGACACGGCCCAGACUCCUCCGGGAGGCAGCAGUGGGGAAUAUUGGACAAUGGGCGAAAGCCUGAUCCAGCAAUGCCGCGUGAGUGAUGAAGGCCUUAGGGUUGUAAAGCUCUUUUACCCGGGAUGAUAAUGACAGUACCGGGAGAAUAAGCUCCGGCUAACUCCGU
This 432-nucleotide ribosomal RNA is filed under the name uncultured bacterium. RNAcentral's name for it is "partial 16S ribosomal RNA". It matches the Rfam family "Bacterial small subunit ribosomal RNA", at positions 29 to 506 of the family's 1533-position model. The record is from RNAcentral.